This 82-nucleotide transfer RNA is filed under the name Rhodopirellula sp. RNAcentral describes it as "tRNA-Tyr". It matches the Rfam family "tRNA". Rfam says of the family: Transfer RNA (tRNA) molecules are approximately 80 nucleotides in length. Their secondary structure includes four short double-helical elements and three loops (D, anti-codon, and T loops). Lineage: Bacteria; Pseudomonadati; Planctomycetota; Planctomycetia; Pirellulales; Pirellulaceae. The record is from RNAcentral.
GGGGGGUUUCCCGAGCGGCCAAAGGGGUCAGACUGUAAAUCUGAUGGCGAAGCCUUCGCAGGUUCGAAUCCUGCACCCCCCA